UGGGGAAUUUUGGACAAUGGGCGAAAGCCUGAUCCAGCAAUGCCGCGUGUGUGAAGAAGGCCUUCGGGUUGUAAAGCACUUUUGUCCGGAAAGAAAUCCUUGGCUCUAAUACAGUCGGGGGAUGACGGUACCGGAAGAAUAAGCACCGGCUAACUACGUGCCAGCAGCCGCGGUAAUACGUAGGGUGCAAGCGUUAAUCGGAAUUACUGGGCGUAAAGCGUGCGCAGGCGGUUUGCUAAGACCGAUGUGAAAUCCCCGGGCUCAACCUGGGAACUGCAUUGGUGACUGGCAGGCUAGAGUAUGGCAGAGGGGGGUAGAAUUCCACGUGUAGCAGUGAAAUGCGUAGAGAUGUGGAGGAAUACCGAUGGCGAAGGCAGCCCCCUGGGCCAAUACUGACGCUCAUGCACGAAAGCGUGGGGAGCAAAACAGGAUUAGAUACCCCUGGUAGUCCACGCCCUAAAACGAUGUCAACUAGUUGUUGGGGAUUCAUUUCCUUAGUAACGUAGCUAACGCGUGAAGUUGACCGCCUGGGGAGUACGGUCGCAAGAC
RNAcentral lists this ribosomal RNA (549 nucleotides) under uncultured bacterium. RNAcentral's name for it is "partial 16S ribosomal RNA". It matches the Rfam family "Bacterial small subunit ribosomal RNA", at positions 355 to 894 of the family's 1533-position model. The record is from RNAcentral.